This 28-nucleotide non-coding RNA is filed under the name Homo sapiens (human). Lineage: Eukaryota; Metazoa; Chordata; Mammalia; Primates; Hominidae. The record is from RNAcentral.
UGUAGUGAGAAGUACAUGCCACAAGGUC